GGCUCAGGAUGAACGCUGGCGGCGUGCCUAAUACAUGCAAGUCGAGCGAACAGACGAGGAGCUUGCUCCUCUGACGUUAGCGGCGGACGGGUGAGUAACACGUGGAUAACCUACCUAUAAGACUGGGAUAACUUCGGGAAACCGGAGCUAAUACCGGAUAAUAUAUUGAACCGCAUGGUUCAAUAGUGAAAGACGGUUUUGCUGUCACUUAUAGAUGGAUCCGCGCCGCAUUAGCUAGUUGGUAAGGUAACGGCUUACCAAGGCAACGAUGCGUAGCCGACCUGAGAGGGUGAUCGGCCACACUGGAACUGAGACACGGUCCAGACUCCUACGGGAGGCAGCAGUAGGGAAUCUUCCGCAAUGGGCGAAAGCCUGACGGAGCAACGCCGCGUGAGUGAUGAAGGUCUUCGGAUCGUAAAACUCUGUUAUUAGGGAAGAACAAAUGUGUAAGUAACUAU
RNAcentral lists this ribosomal RNA (458 nucleotides) under Staphylococcus sp. R-46052. Its description in RNAcentral is "bacterial SSU rRNA". It matches the Rfam family "Bacterial small subunit ribosomal RNA", at positions 21 to 467 of the family's 1533-position model. Lineage: Bacteria; Bacillati; Bacillota; Bacilli; Caryophanales; Staphylococcaceae. The record is from RNAcentral.